GUAGUCAUAUGCUUGUCUCGAAGAUUAAGCCAUGCAUGUCUAAGCACAAACCUUUACACGGUGGAGCUGCGAAUGGCUCAUUAGGCCACCCAUGAUUUAUUAGAUUGUACAAUCCUACUUGGAUAACUGUGGUAAUUCUAGAGCUAAUACAUGCAAGUAAGCUCCGACCCCUCCGGGAAAGAGCGCGUUUAUUAGAUCAAAACCAAUCGGGUCUUCGGAUCCGUACGUUUGGUGACUCUGGAUAACUUCGAGCUGAUCGCACGGCCUCGAGCUGGCGACGUAUCUUUCAAGUGUGUGCCCUAUCAACUGUCGAUGGUAAGUGAUAUGCUUACCAUGGUGGCAACGGGUAACGGGGAAUGGGGCGGGGGCGGCGGGCCGGGCGCGGGGCGCGGCGGGCG
RNAcentral lists this ribosomal RNA (398 nucleotides) under uncultured eukaryote. RNAcentral describes it as "bacterial SSU rRNA". It matches the Rfam family "Eukaryotic small subunit ribosomal RNA", at positions 20 to 375 of the family's 1831-position model. The record is from RNAcentral.